UGGAGAGUUUGAUCCUGGCUCAGAUUGAACGCUGGCGGCAGGCCUAACACAUGCAAGUCGAACGGUAACAGGAAGCAGCUUGCUGCUUYGCUGACGAGYGGCGGACGGGUGAGUAAUGUCUGGGAAACUGCCUGAUGGAGGGGGAUAACUACUGGAAACGGUAGCUAAUACCGCAUAACGUCGCAAGACCAAAGUGGGGGACCUUCGGGCCUCAUGCCAUCAGAUGUGCCCAGAUGGGAUUAGCUAGUUGGUGGGGUAACGGCUCACCAAGGCGACGAUCCCUAGCUGGUCUGAGAGGAUGACCAGCCACACUGGAACUGAGACACGGUCCAGACUCCUACGGGAGGCAGCAGUGGGGAAUAUUGCACAAUGGGCGCAAGCCUGAUGCAGCCAUGCCGCGUGUAUGAAGAAGGCCUUCGGGUUGUAAAGUACUUUCAGUGAGGAGGAAGGCAUGAUGCUUAAUACGCAUCGUGAUUGACGUUACUCACAGAAGAAGCACCGGCUAACUCCGUGCCAGCAGCCGCGGUA
This 528-nucleotide ribosomal RNA is filed under the name Pantoea sp. 43. RNAcentral describes it as "bacterial SSU rRNA". It matches the Rfam family "Bacterial small subunit ribosomal RNA", at positions 1 to 522 of the family's 1533-position model. The record is from RNAcentral. Lineage: Bacteria; Pseudomonadati; Pseudomonadota; Gammaproteobacteria; Enterobacterales; Erwiniaceae.